UCACUGUGAUGAAGUGUAUACCGCCAUUCGUAGUUUCCACCAGAGGUUUAUCGACCAAAGAUGGUUUAAUUCUUCCUUGGAUGUCUGAGUGA
Molecule: small nucleolar RNA, 92 nt
Filed under: Periophthalmus magnuspinnatus
Lineage: Eukaryota; Metazoa; Chordata; Actinopteri; Gobiiformes; Gobiidae
Description: Small nucleolar RNA SNORD14 (ENSPMGG00000003527.1)
Rfam family: Small nucleolar RNA SNORD14
About the family: U14 small nucleolar RNA (U14 snoRNA) is required for early cleavages of eukaryotic precursor rRNAs. In yeasts, this molecule possess a stem-loop region (known as the Y-domain) which is essential for function. A similar structure, but with a different consensus sequence, is found in plants, but is absent in vertebrates.
Source: RNAcentral